Molecule: long non-coding RNA, 256 nt
Filed under: Mytilus galloprovincialis (Mediterranean mussel)
Lineage: Eukaryota; Metazoa; Mollusca; Bivalvia; Mytilida; Mytilidae
Source: RNAcentral
GAAAUAGUCGUGCGUGUCCUUCAAAGUCUGGUAGAUAGUUUGUUUACCUACUCCAAACAGAGACAAAGUUGUGUCGCAUCCGGUCGGGCAUGUACAGCAGUUAGUAGUUUACAAAUUGUUGGGGAAAACAGACACAUAGUUAGUGAAUGGGUGAAAAUCUCCGUCCAUCCUUUACACUGCUAAUGCUCCCCAUCUGCACCCACAACUCGCUUGAAUGUGUCAUAUAUUUAUAGUAGUGAACACGAACACACAGAAC